UUCCGGUUGAUCCUGCCGGAGGUUACUGCUAUCGAGGUUCGACUAAGCCAUGCGAGUCGAAUGUAGCAAUACAUGGCGAACUGCUCAGUAACACGUGGACAACCUGCCCUUAGGACGGGGAUAAACCCGGGAAACUGGGUAUAAUACCCGAUAGGUCUCGAUUGCUGGAAUGCAUCGAGAUUUAAAGCUCCGGCGCCUAAGGAUGGGUCUGCGGCCUAUCAGGUAGUAGUGGGUGUAGCAUACCUACUAGCCUACGACGGGUACGGGUUGUGAGAGCAAGAGCCCGGAGAUGGAUUCUGAGACACGAAUCCAGGCCCUACGGGGUGCAGCAGGCGCGAAAACUUUACAAUGCUGGCAACAGCGAUAAGGGAACCUCGAGUGCCAGGUUACAAAUCUGGCUGUCGAGAUGCCUAAAAAGCAUUUCAUAGCAAGGGCCGGGCAAGACCGGUGCCAGCCGCCGCGGUAACACCGGCGGCUCGAGUGGUAACCGUUAUUAUUGGGUCUAAAGGGUCUGUAGCCGGCCGGAUAAGUCUCUUGAGAAAUCUGGCAGCUUAACUGUCAGGCUUUCAGGAGAUACUGUCUGGCUCGAGGCCGGGAGAGGUGAGAGGUACUUCAGGGGUAGGGGUGAAAUCUUGUAAUCCUUGAAGGACCACCAGUGGCGAAGGCGUCUCACCAGAACGGACCUGACGGCAAGGGACGAAAGCUAGGGGCACGAACCGGAUUAGAUACCCGGGUAGUCCUAGCCGUAAACGAUACUCGCUAGGUGUCGGCCACGGUGCGACCGUUGUCGGUGCCGUAGGGAAGCCGUGAAGCGAGCCACCUGGGAAGUACGGCCGCAAGGCUGAAACUUAAAGGAAUUGGCGGGGAGCACACA
Molecule: ribosomal RNA, 874 nt
Filed under: uncultured archaeon
Lineage: Archaea
Description: bacterial SSU rRNA
Rfam family: Archaeal small subunit ribosomal RNA
Source: RNAcentral